UAUCUCUUACCCAGCACUCAGUAGUAGGAAGGAAGCUGUGAGGGGUGACUCUCUCUUACCCAGUACUCAGUAGUAGGAAGGGGGCUGUGAGGGGUGACUCCCUCUUACCCAGUACUCAGUAGUUGGAAGUUGGCUGUGAGGGGUGACUCUCUCUUACCCAGUACUCAAUAGUAGGAAGGGGGCUGUGAGGGGUGACUCUCUCUUACCCAGUACUCAGUAGUAGGAAGGUGGCUGUGAGGGGUGACUCUCUCUUACCCAGUACUCAGUAGUAGGAAGGUGGCUGUGAGGGGUGACUCUCUCUUACCCAGCACUCAGUAGUAGGAAGGUGGCUGUGAGGGGUGACUCUCUCUUACCCAGCACUCAGUAGUAGGAAGGAAGCUGUGAGGGGUGACUCUCUCUUACCCAGUACUCAGUAGUAGGAAGGUGGCUGUGAGGGGUGACUCUGUUACCCAGCACUCAGUAGUAGGAAGGGGGCUGUGAGGGGUGACUCUCUCUUACCCAGCACUCAGUAGUAGGAAGGGGGCUGAGCGAGAGAGUUGGUACCCACCCAGUUUAGUCCAGCUGAUGAUCUGGCUGAUGAGAGGCAGACCCUGUUUCAGCUGCAGACUGGAC
RNAcentral lists this long non-coding RNA (612 nucleotides) under Salmo salar (Atlantic salmon). RNAcentral describes it as "lncRNA (ENSSSAG00000100180.1)". The record is from RNAcentral. Lineage: Eukaryota; Metazoa; Chordata; Actinopteri; Salmoniformes; Salmonidae.